UCACCCAUAGAAAUGCAUUGGAAACUGUUUACCUAAGGUAUGGGAAGGGGAGGAUGGAAUUAGUGGGGUAGGGGUAAAAUCCGGUAGAUUUCACUUGGAAUACCGAAAAGCGAAGGCGAUUUCCCUGGAACAAUACUGACGGUAAUGCGUGAAAGCGUGGGGAGCAAACGGAUUAAGAUACCCCGGUAGUCCACGCCCUAAACGAUGUUCACUAGUCGUCGGGAUGCUAGUCAUCUCGGUGAUGCACUUAACAGAUUAAGUGAACCGCCUGGGGAGUACGGUCGCAAGAUUAAAACUCAAAGGAAUAGACGGGGACCCGCACAAGCGGUGGAGCAUGUGGUUUAAUUCGACGAUACGCGAAGAACCUUACCUGGCCUUGACAUAGAAAGAAUUUAGCAGAGAUGUAAAAGUGCUAGUUUACUAGAGCUUUCAUACAGGUGCUGCACGGCUGUCGUCAGCUCGUGUCGUGAGAUGUUAGGUUAAGUCCUGCAACGAGCGCAACCCUCGUGUUUAGUUACUAACAGUUCGGCUGAGGACUCUAGACAUACUGCCUGGGCAACCAGGAGGAAGGUGAGGACGACGUCAAGUCAUCAUGGCCCUUACGGCCAGGGCUACACACGUGCUACAAUGGGGUAUACAAAGAGCCGCAAUACCGCGAGGUGGAGCAAAUCUCAUAAAAUAUCUCCCAGUUCGGAUUACACUCUGCAACUCUGUAAAAUGAACGU
RNAcentral lists this ribosomal RNA (725 nucleotides) under uncultured bacterium. Its description in RNAcentral is "bacterial SSU rRNA". It matches the Rfam family "Bacterial small subunit ribosomal RNA", at positions 609 to 1330 of the family's 1533-position model. The record is from RNAcentral.